CACCUCUCGUAUUCUAUGAGAGGCCCUGCCUGCCCAGUGACUUAAAAGUUCAACGGCCGCGGUACCCUGACCGUGCAAAGGUAGCAUAAUCACUUGCCCUAUAAUUGAGGGCUAGAAUGAAAGGCAAGACGAAGGUUUUACUGUCUCUAAGGUAAUAAAAAAAUUAUGCUUUAGGUGAAGACCCCUAAAUAAAAAUACUGGACGAGAAGACCCUAUAGAGCUUUACUACUAUCUUAAACUCUUUAUAACAAUUUAUAUUACAUCAAUUACUGGUAGUUAGUUUGGUUGGGGCGACCAAGGAACAAUAUAAGCUUCCUAAACCACAUUUAGACAUUAAGUCUUUAUUUGACCCGUUAGUUACGACCAUCAAAUCAAGCUACCUUAGGGAUAACAGCGUAAUCUUUUUUAAGAGUUCAUAUCUACAAAAAGGAUUGCGACCUCGAUGUUGGACUAGGAUAUCCUAAGGGUGUAGCAGCUCUUAAUGGUAGGUCUGUUCGACCUUUAAAAUCCU
Molecule: ribosomal RNA, 511 nt
Filed under: Magelona parochilis
Lineage: Eukaryota; Metazoa; Annelida; Polychaeta; Spionida; Magelonidae
Description: partial large subunit ribosomal RNA
Rfam family: Bacterial large subunit ribosomal RNA
Source: RNAcentral